GGAAAAUGGAGCCCAAGAGGAGAGGAACGAAAAUAUGCUUAAAACGCAUGUCCGCGUCGCCUUGCCGCCUGAUUACCUGUAGUACGGAAUCCACCCGAUACUUGGAACUGGUUAAAAGAAUUCUCAAAAAGACAGGAAUAAAGAAAGAAAGAAACAGUUUUAAAUUCUCACAUGCCUUUUCAAGUCAUUCUUACCAAUUCCAUAGCAAUAGAAAGAAAAAAGGAAUGUUUCCUGCAGUUAUGAAGACCCCUCAGUGCAGAGUUUGCACUGUGAAUUGCCUUUGGAGUUGAAGCAAGGAUCCAUCUGCGUUCCCUUUCAUGAUCUGCUCUGGGACCAACAGCCAGCC
Molecule: long non-coding RNA, 346 nt
Organism: Suricata suricatta (meerkat)
Lineage: Eukaryota; Metazoa; Chordata; Mammalia; Carnivora; Herpestidae
Exons: 3
Source: RefSeq, a predicted model, not a curated record